RNAcentral lists this long non-coding RNA (21684 nucleotides) under Triticum aestivum (bread wheat). Its description in RNAcentral is "long non-coding RNA (TAES_LNC005638)". The stretch from base 5482 to 5621 matches the Rfam family "MIR1120/MIR1122 microRNA precursor family". Lineage: Eukaryota; Viridiplantae; Streptophyta; Magnoliopsida; Poales; Poaceae. The record is from RNAcentral.
UGGAAUUUAGGAGUGGUUGUAGGGGCGAGAGCAGGCUGGUAGGGGAAUUCGAGCUCUUCUUCGUGACCCCCGGUUAGGUUUUCCGUGUGCAAACUGCCAAGUAACUGGAGAUGGGGUGUUUGUGAGGAGAACGACCUUCCGAUUCUAGUUCUGGUGGCUCGACCUGUCGAGUAAAUUCGAUUACUAUAACUUCGGUUGAAUAUGCCUUUCUCGGAUUCCCCCUUGAUCCAUUUGAAAGCGUGCCUCCUCGAGUGUAGUUCACUUGAUCCUGAUGUAAAAUUGGGUUGGUUAAUAUGGGUUUUCAUGAUAGUAGUUUAUUAGCUUUACUUGGUGUUUUGAUACGGAAGAAGAAAAUCAUCUAGUGCCAGAGUUCAUCUUAUUUGAAAGGAAAACGUGAUUCAACUUUUGGUAUGCUGCUGAUUGUGCCCCAUUCUUUUGUACAACCACUACCACGGUCAUGUCUGUUUGGCUACCUUUGUUGGUUAAGUGAAGUCUAUUUUGUACUUCUGCUGUUGCUUCUGCUUGGUUGAACUUCAGGUUUUCAUUAGUGGUAUGUCUUUCUUCAGAUUGAUUGUUUGUCAUGUUAGUCAUUUUUUCUUCUUGUUGUGGUCAAUCAUGUUGAACUUGAUGUAGGUGCAAGGUUUUCUUUUUCUUUUAGUAUUUUUAUUACUGUUUUAGAUGGAGGUGAGUCAGGUCGUUGACAAUUUUUAGUUCACUCUGUAUUCUCAGAUGUCCAUAGCUCUAUAAUAGCUCUUCUUUUUGAUUUAUCUCGAAUAUGCUCUCACAUGAUUUUGUCAAAAAAAUAUUAUCACUAAUUCAUGAAGCAUUUUAAAAUUUGUGCAGGAGUUUUUGUUCUACUGAACUAUCAGGGCAGGUAACUCCCUCCCUCCUGAUCGUUUUUUAUCAGAAUUUUUAGUUGAUCCAUUCUUCUUGAAUUCUGUCAAAGUUUAACUUAUUUUUCGAUGAUCCCCGCAGAAGCUUGCAGGGGUACCACCUGAGCUUGCAUUAGUUGUCUUCCAUACCCAUGGACCUUACAGUGGUACGAUUUGAUAUCCAUUAAUCCUCCAUGCCCUUAUCAUUUAACAUUAUGAUUUAUCUCAAUGCUUUCAUGUUUAGUUCUGUAUAAAAUAGCUAAUUUAUGAAAAUGUGCUCCUGUUGCAAUGCAGCCUUUAUUGUACAACGCAGCGGUUGGACAAAAGAUAUGGAUGCUUUUCUUUCAUGGUUAUCAGGAAUAUCAUUUAGUGGUGGAGGCUUCAGUGAAGCUGCUAUUUGUGAAGGUCUUGCUGAAGCACUGAUGGUAUUGAUGUGUUAACAUUGUUCACAAUCAUAACUCUAUAAGUUGCUUUAUUGUUUAUGUUCAAAUAGUUCUAAAGUCUGAGUAGUGCAGAUAAUUUUCUAUUGAAUAAUGUAGUUAUAAUGAAAAUCCGCGCCUAGUAGCAUAACACAAUACAUUAAGUUCACCUACAAUUUUGCUGGGUUGAGCCCAUUUUCGUGGGACAUUUCCUACAGAUUGGUAAGUGAGGUCUCAUUUUUUUCUAUGAUCUGCUCUUGUAUUUCUUCCAUAUUAAGGCAUAAGCACUGGAAAUAGUUACUGGACCUGCACAUGUGUUUCUUGCAUUUGUACUUCUUUUAUCGUCAUAUUUCAUGCUGUCUAAACUCCAGCUUUAUUAAUUACUUUGUUAUAUUUUCUAGAAAGUGAUUUUGUAUAUUUGUGUUGCUAGUGUUUCCAAUAUGGUCCAGAAUCUCUUCUAUUUUUUUUCUUGCACAAGCUAUGGUUUGAAUGAGAAACUAUGGAAGUGUUUGACCUGAACUGCAGUUAUGGGGCUAUGGUUGUGGUUGGAUUAUGUAAUAGACAUCAGUAGUUACUCUCAAUGAGACUGACACGUGAAUGGUCUUUUGUGAAUGUAUUGUAUUGGUUAUUAGUUUGUUAUUGCCAUGGUGCUUAUUUCAUUUCAUUUAUGCAACUAGAUACUCCAAGGCAGUCCUGGUAGCAGCCAGAAUCAUCAAAAUCGUGAACUUCAAAAGCAUUGCCUACUUGUUGCUGCAAGUAAUCCUUACCCGCUGCCUACACCUGUCUACCGCCCUUCUGUUCAAAGUAGUGAUCACAAAAAGAGCAACGAAGCAACAAAGGAAUCAUGUCUUGCUGAUGCUGAGGCUGUUGCAGUCUCAUUUGCUCAGGUGCUGAAUAAAUACUACUAUCUUGCAUUAUAUUCAUUGUGUAUCUCAAUGGAGUGCUAAGCAGUACUUGGUUGGAUCUAAUUAACUUUGUGGUUGCAGUCCUCUGUAUCGUUGUCGGUGGUAUCUCCUAAACAGCUACCAACACUGAAGGCAAUAUACAACGCGGUAAUACAUUUGUUGUGUCAAACUUGAUAAACUGUUUGAAAGCCUACAAUCUUGUACUUGCUUCUUUAUUUUGGUUUGUCCAAAAGGAAUCUUGAAUGGUCCUAAAUGUCCACUCCACUCUGCUAGUAGCCUGCUUAAUUGCCUAGUCCACUCCACUUGUUGCGAAUAGUUUAGAUGUCCUUGUAAUUGCUUACUUUAUGGUCCUAAAUGUCCUCUUUUCUAGUAGUUUGUAAAAUAAAUGCCUUAGAAAUUCAAGUGUCACACCACAUAACUUGGUUGUGGAUUAGAAAAAAAUCCACCCACGUCAAAUCAUCAUAGUAUUUAGCACAAUGGAUGAAAUUUCAAGAUAAUGCCUUUCCCUGAUCUCUACAUUCCUCCACUUCUGUCAUGAUGGGCGUUGUAAACUUACAUGAUUUGAAGCUGACCUUAGGCAAAUCCUUGUUUGUUGUGUGAAUAGGCACUGAAUACUGAUACUACACGUAUUUAUUGCAGGGAAAGAGGAAUCCUCAAGCUUCUGAUCCAUCAGUUGAUCAUGCCAAAAAUCCACAUUUUCUUGUUUUGCUGUCUGAGAGUUUCAUGGAGGCUCGAACCGCUCUAAGCCAUCCUUUACCCGGGAACCUUGUCCCAAACCACACCAUUACAAAAAUGGAUACCGCACCUGCAGCUACUGUGCCAGGACCACCUUCGAAUGCCACUCCCUCAGGUUGAACAAAUGCUAAUGUUAGGCUAGUUUCACUGUGAGGUUUUAGCCUUUGAUUGUUCCUGUUUUCAUAAAACUUGUGGCUUGUGCUGUUGUUAUGAUGUCUGCAUGGGCGGGAUAUAGAGAAAGCUUUAAAAAAAGAAUUAUAGGAGUUUCCCCUAAUUUUGUGUGAGUUGGUGCAACAAAUCCCAGCUGCAAUUUGAUUAAAGAAAAAGAAUGGUAGAUUUAAGUAAAAAUGCAAUCUGGACAUUGCCAUUUGGGUUGGGACCACAAAUAAAAAACACUGAUAAACACUUCUUGCUGCAUAUGCUGGAAGUGCUGACUAUGUAAUUUCAGGCAAACAAGGCUUGGAGAAUGCCCUUAUGGGACCCUUUGCAUAAAACCUACCUAUACUAAUAAAUCUUAGCAGAAAAGCACGUGAGAGCCCUCAUAUACUAAAUUUCAAAGCAGUAAACUAAAUGUGCACCUGAAUACUUAUACCAAAGAGGCACUUGAAAUAUUUGAUGUUUCAAAUUGCAUGUGGCCAUGAUGUUAUGUACUGAAAUACCCUACUUACUUGUCUAGUUGAAAUACUUUGAGCCAGAGCUGAAGGAAAAUGAUGUACUGGACCUAGAAGUUAAAUGCUCAUCUUUCAUAACAGCUUGUAGUACUACUGGCUUCAUAUUUGUUUUUCUAUGUGUAUGAUGAAUGUUCUGUGACUUGUGAUAGUGAAUCAUCCUAAAUAAUGGUGUAUCUGACCAUUGGCUAAGAUGUCAGCAGCUAAUUGUUUGAGUUGUUGGUCAGCCAUUAGACUAAUUUAGUCAUGUCUGAAAUUGCACCUAUAUGCCUAUCAUAUGCAAUGCAGACAUCACAUGGUAUUAGAAGUAUCCAUACAGAUACCAGGUGCUUUUUUCGAUGUGUAUGAGUGUUGAUGUUGUUUCUCAUUUGUUUCAUGAAGUACAUUUCACAAUCGCACAUUCUAAAAUGCUGGGUUUUUAGCUCUCUCUCUCUCUCUCUAUAUAUAUAUAUAUAUUCAACGUUGCUAUGGAUCAUAAUUGUGACUAAGUUCGCCUAUCUAUUGAAUUAGGGUGGCACAUUUCUGAUUUUGUUUACAUGUUCCAAGUAUAACUAAAAACUCACUGAAUAAUAUUGCAAUGUGUUUUUUUUUCUGCUCUUACUCAUAUCAUUUCGUUAUAUAACCCUACUAAAUUGUCAUGACUAAAAAAAUUGUUAUAUCUCCAGUGAAUGGAACGAUGAUGGGACGGCAACCGACUGCAAAUGUUAAAGUGGUAGGCUACAAAAAUAUGUUAUUAUUUUACUAUUUCUAUAUGCCUUUUUAUUAUAACCGUACCUUAACGAUUUGCAUUUUCAGGAGCCGACAACUAUACCACCAAUGGUUUCUGCACCUGCAUUCUCUCAUAUGACACCUAUUUCAAAUGUUGCUUCUCAAGGUGUAUCAGCAAUGCAAACUUCUUCACCAUCGAUUAUUUCACAAGAAACAAAUGUUGCAAAUGAAAUAUUGCAAGAGCAUAAGCCUUUAGUAAACCCUAUCCAACAACAGGUUCGGCCUGGUGGCCCAGCAAAUGUUAGCAUCCUAAACAAUCUGUCACAACAUCGACACUCUUUAACAGCAGCUACCUCAAUGGGACCUAACAUGGGAGCAACACCUAUACAAGUGCACAUGUCAAACAUGAUAUCGAGUGGAAUGACAUCAACUCCCGCUGUCAUAUCUUCUAUAUCUGGAACAGUACAGCCAAUUGGUGCUCAACAGUUGGUACAGAACACAGCUCUCGGUUCUUUUGGGUCAAACACUUCUACUGUAUCUGGUAAUUCAAAUAUUGCCGUAUCGUCUUCUUUGGCUAACAUACAAAGCAACAUGGCCAUGGGACAAUCAGUGCCUUCUAUGGCACAAGGUGGUCUGAUGGCUGGUCCACAAUCAGGACAAGGUGGAAUUGGUACGAACCAAAACAUGAUAAAUAACCUUGGGACUACAGCUAUCUCUUCUAUGCCUACAAUGAUGCCAACACCAGGAAUGGUCCAGCAGACAGGAGUAAAUGCUCUUAGCGCGAACAACAGUUCUGCUAUGAAUAUGCCUCUGGCACAACAUCCUAAUGGCCAGCAACCAUCGAAGUAUGUCAAAAUUUGGGAGGUAAAGAUUUCAGUUUGCGUUUCAUGCUCCUUGCGAUAGUAGCUUUGCAAUAUAGGUUGCUAAAUGCAGCAUUUAAAUAGCGGUAUGUAUGAAACUUAAUAUAGCAUCCGAGCCAAGAGGUUUCAGGUUCAAGUUUCGGAUUUCACAAUUUAAAUGAAGAAAAUUGCUUGCCUCUUUCUGUCCAUGUUUAGGCCUUAUCAAGCCACGCAUGAGAGGGGGUGUUGAAGUAUAUGCAGAUUGCCCAACCUUGUCAAUUUUUUUUUUGUUCUACUGGUCAGUGCAUGAAAUUUAAUAGAAAAUACGUUUGUAAAAGUUACUCCCUCCGUCCCGAAUUAGUUGUCUUAGAUUUGUUUAGAUACGGAUGUAUCUAGACACGUUUUAGUGUUAGCUACAUCCGUAUCUAGACAAAUCUAAUCUAAGACAAGUAAUUUGGGAUGGAGGUAAUACAUAUUUAUGCAAUAUGAGUUAAGAGUGUCAAGCAGACAACUGAACAAAUAUUUGUAAUGAUUUUGAACUUCCGGAUAUAUAUUUCUCAAAAAGUACAGGGUUACAAGAUCAUGGCUAGCCGUGAGGAGAGUUAGACAGGCGGCUACCUUAUCAGCCUGUUCUUUAAACCGAAGAGCCCAAAGUUCAAAAUCAUUAUAAAUAUUGUGAAUAGUGGUAGCACUUAAUUCAUGAUAAUCUUGCUCAUGUUGUCUGGUGUCUUUGCCUAGGAGUACAAUUCAGGACAUGAUUUUCUUCUGUUCAUAUUUCAGGGAACUUUGUCUGGGCAAAGGCAAGGACAACCUGUAUUUAUUUGUAAACUUGAAGUAAGUUCCUAUUUGUAUGGCUUAACCCUCACACUUUCUGAUAUAGUAACAGUUUUUAUGCUCUCUGUUGAUCUGUAUGCGAUCUGAAAAGAGACCAUUCCUUUUAUGGAAAGACAGUUCAGUCCAUUUCAUCCAAACAUGGCAUAUGUUGUUUUACUUUAUUUUCUGUUUAUACUACCCAAUGAUUGCCUGCAACUGUUCAUUACUGCCUAUUUAAUUAAUCAUUCAUGACAAAAAUAGCUCUUUCAAGUGUUCUCUAUUCUUGAGGCCGUUGGAAAGUCAAUGCUUAGAAAGAACAUACUUUUUUUUAUCCGAACAACAGGCGACAAUCCUACUGAGUAUUAUGUGUAUUAGUAAUCAAGAUCCAAAAUAAGAAUUUACAAAGAAACAAUUGAUAGAAUCUAAAAGAUAAAUCAAUAAAAUAGAUCACAAUGGACAUAUUAAUGUCCAACCAUUUGACCCCCUGACAUCUUAGAUGAGAUCGUGAUUUGCAAUUAUUUCAAAUCCAGAAGCAACAUUCUCUUUCAUCUAAGCUUAUUUUAUGAAUGUGUACUUUGUUUCUCUGGAUCCAACAUUCUGAAUGAACCAGAGCAUUGUUAUUAUUAGCUCCUUGAAGAAUAGGCUUGGUUGAACCAGCCUGAUUUCUAGCCGAGGCGAACAUAUCCAAGAUAUAUAAAGGAUUUGUUCCAAGAGGUUUAAAUCAAAAUAGAGAUAGUGCCCAAUCUUCUGAAACCUGAUUAAUGCAAAGAGCACCAACUUAACUUCCUCCACGUCAAAAGUCUUACUCUCCAAUCCUUGUGUUAACUUCUCCAUGAAGUAUUGUUGAGAAAAACAACUUACUAUGCAUUAAAAUCUGCACCAAGAUACACUUUGUUUUUCUGAACCUACUGAAAAUUUUGUGAAGCAUGGAACAGAAUAUCAGUUUAUGCUGCCAAUGCUCAUUGUUUUCACGGUCUACACCUUCAAAGCUGAAACCAAUUGUUAUAAUUUCGGAUUGUAUACUGUAAUUUGCUAUCCUCUUAAAUAUACCAUACCAUAUUCUAUCCUUGCAAAGCAUUUCAAUGUUGUAUUUCUCAUCCUAUCAUCUGUGUUGCAGGGUUAUAGGAGUGGAACAGCGUCUGACACGUAAGUCUUUAAACUGUUGCAAUACUAUUUUUGUGAUGAAUGAGAUUAGGAAAUUUUACAGCUAGGUAUUAUUGUUGCUCUUUUUCUUGAAAAUGAAUUGCUUUACAAGAAAUAUUGAAUUUUUAGUGGACACCUACACCCUGUUCGUGAAGUCAUUCUCAUUAUACUAUCUGUAAUACAUCCUGUGCGUCCAGUAACUUAUCUGAACACACCUAUCAGCUAUAGGAGUAUGGAAUGCUAAGGUUAGUUGCAAACCAACUAAAUACCAGUCUUCUAGGUUGGUAUGUCAUAUUUGGUUUCUUUGGCAGCACCUUUCAAAUUUUACUAGUGUACUGAUUGCCAGAUAUAUUCACGAAUGUUCUAGGUUGCUAUAUUCUUGAAUUUUACCUGCUGUUCAAGCGUAAUUUCAGUUGGAAACCUGACAACGUUCCUGAGUUCUAAUAUGAUACGCCCAGUGAAGAAACUUCUUGUUUUCCUGCACUUUGUUGGGCAACUUUGAAUGCCAUUUGCCUUCACUCAAUAAAAUCUAUCAUCGUGUCUUAUUUUUCUCCUUAAGUCUUAUGAUAGCGCUUUCAUACAAUCUGCAAAUCAUACCAUCAGUCUGCCUAAAGAAACUGAAGCUGUACUUUUAUAUUCAGACUUGCUUCAGACUGGCCAGAAACGAUGCAGAUCGUGCGCCUCAUAGCCCAAGAGCAUAUGAACAACAAGUUUGUCGCUCAACUAGCCCAUGCUUUUCCUUGUUAAAACCGCUGCAUUAUUGUGUGUUGUUCCUAAUAUCAUUCCUGCUCAACUUUGGUUGUUCGAUCAUGUAAUUGUACAGGCAGUAUGUUGGCAAGGCAGACUUUCUAGUAUUUCGAACAUUGAAUCAGCAUGGUUUCCUCGGACAACUACAAGAGAAGAAAUUGGUGAGUCGCUCAGUGCUUGUUUUAACCUUGUGGAAUAUUUAUGAUCUCAGUUUGAACUGCACUUAAUUAAGCAUGGUAUCAUACAUUUACUUCUUUUAAUGUUCAAGUGGUUCAUUGCUUCAGUGUGCAGUGAUUCAGCUACCUUCACAAACUUUGCUGUUGUCAGUGUCUGACAAAGCUGGGCGCCUCAUAGGAAUGCUGUUUCCAGGGGUAUGUUUAUAACUAAUUGAGAGAUUACCGCAAUUUGUCUAUUGUAGUAUUCAUCUAAAUCAACACAAUUCUCUGCCGAGUUUCCCCCAGGAUAUGGUGGUAUUCAAACCACAGGUCUCAACUCAGCAGCCACAGAUGCAGCCACAGCAGCAGCAGCAGCAGCUACAACAGCAGCAGCAGCAAAUACAGCAGCAACAGCAGCAACUACAGCAACUGCAACAGCAGCAACUACAACAGCACCAAAUGCAAAUGCAGCCUCAAGGCCAGCAACUUCAGCAGCAGCAGCAGAUGCAGCAAAUGCAACAGCAACAACAACAGAUGCAGCAAAUGCAACAUCAACAACAGCAGCAGCAGCAGCAGAUUCAGCAGCAGCAGCAGAUGCAGCAGCAGCAGCAGCAGAUUCAGCAGCAGCAGCAGAUGCAGCAGCAGCAGCAGCAGCAGCAGCAGCAACAGAUGCAGCAAAUGCAACAGCAGCAGCAGCAGCAGCCUCAACAACUCCAGCAGCAGCCGCAGAUGGUGGGUACAGGGAUGGGUCAGCAACAAUUCAUGCAGGGGCAUGGUCGGGCGGUGCAGAUGAUGCAAGGAAAGAUCGCGCCACAGGGCCCAGGCAACAUGUCUGGAGGAGGCUACCUAUCUUGAAAAUAUCGCGUGCUAGCAGGACACUCCUUGGGUUCAUGAGGCUCCUUGGAGAUUUGGCACACCCAAUUAGUGUGGUGGUUUUGUGCUUAUGUACAGAGCAUUCCGAGUCUGUCAGCUAGGAGGAGUUUGCUUACUAUCUCAUGUCUAGCCUGUAGCUGAGGUAUUCAUCAUCCUAUUGGAUGGUACAUUAGAAGAACAUAUUCAGAGGAUUGAUUGGAGAGGGACCUAUAAUCUGGAAUGAUUUGCUAAAGAUAAAGUUACAUUUUCACACCGUUGGACCGAACAUGCAUUUGAAUCUUCAUAUGUCCAAUAACUUACUGUAUUUCCUACUUAUCCAUGCUAAAUGGAGGCGCUGGGGAGGAGGCAUGGUGGUGUGUUAGGAAGAAUCCUGAUUGCUGGGUCAGGUAGAGAUGCGUCCCACAAAUGUUUUACGAGCCGGGCCGUUUUUACGAUAUCUGCUCAGGCUAUUUUUUUUGUCCGCCCUGUAAAACCGUCGGAAAAGGCACCCAGCCAGGUUAUAGGGAGCUGAGGUGCCCGUACUGGGCUUUUGAUUGGAAGCCCAUUUUACUCGUUAUGUCGGUCUCUGGUUCGCUACCCUGUUUUCGUGCUUCGCUGUCCUGUUUCUCCUCUACUGUUUCUGUGCUUCGCUGCCCUUCUGUUUCGCUGUUUCGCUUUCGUUGCCGUUUGUUUAUUAGAAAAUUCCUUUCGUUUGGUUGUAGCUUUUUUUCUGACGUCAGCGAGCACUCCUAUUUUUUUGUUUUAAAAAAGUUUUUUUUGUCUCGUCUUUUAGAUAAAUAAAAAAUACAAAGAGUGAAUAAAAAUAAAGAAAUUGAAUUUUCUUAUUAAAUAUUUUGAAAGAAAAGUAAGCAGAUUUUGCUCGUGCCUCUGUUUUGGAGAAGUAAUUAUUAAACAAAAAAUGACUACUUUUAAUAUAGUUAAGGUAAUCAAACAGAGAAGGAAGCAUUGAAUGUUUAGUACAGCAGAACAAAAAAAUAAUAUUCAGACUUGUUUUGAACAAUGACCCCCUCAACAUUUUCUUCAUUCAAGUAGCACGAGAAGGAAAUAAGUUCUCGUUUGGUAGAGCAAAAAGUAAAAUGGAGAAAAUUGUUUAUGCGAUGAAAAUGUGGUCAUCUUGUAUCUUGAACCUGGGUUAAGCUGAGUAUUGAUUCACCUGAAUAGCCGGAAACCCUGUUUGUAAAAAAAUAAAAGAAGUUUGGUCAGUUUAUUUAAGUAGAAAAAGAAAAACUUUAGUUUCUGGUUGUAGUUGAAUAUUAUUAUUUAAUGUAUUAAAUUUAAAAAUGUAGGGGGAGGUUUUCGAAUGGCGGAACUAACGUGAUUUUGUUGGAAAGCUUUGACCAAUGGUAGUUGAACUUCACUGUUGGAACAAGUCGCAAUUUCGUAGAGAAAAAUUUCUCUUAAGGCCUGUAGGUCAUGCUGCAAAAAAUAAAAAGAAAGUAAUUGUAUUAGACACUCUCAUUCUUUUUUUGAAAAAAAUGUACGUUGAGUUUUAUUUAUUUGGAAUGUCAAGCAUAUACUUUUUUAGAUCAACAAAUUAUUUACAUGGGCAGCUUGAAAAGAACUUACAGUUGUGAAUCCUGGCACUCCCAUCCCCCGGUAUGUUUUUAGAAUUUGCAGGAGGAAUAUGCCGGUGUCGUACCUGAGUGAUAAGAAAGAGAAUUUACUAGGAGUUAGGAGUGCGCAAAAAUAUUAUAAAGUGAAGAAAAAUUAAUUUGAAGUACAGUGCACAGAAAAAAAAUGAUUCUUUUCUUUCUUUUCUACCUGAAAUGAGUCCGGGGUACUGGAACGAAACGGUAGUCAAAUUCUUUUAUGUUGAAUGCGAUGCAAUUUGGGUAUGUUUUCGCAAACAGACUCUUGAAGUUGAAUGUAACAGUGCUGAUAAUUGAAGUGAAUUUGUUGUUUCCAGAUCCAUCAGGGUUCAUUAUAUCAAAGAAUUUGCCACUGUCAAAGUUAGCAGUGAUUACAAUCCACUGUUUGUCAUUGAAGCAAGGCAGAUGAACCUGUUAGAAAAAAAGAGAAGAAAGUACAGACAUAUUAGUAGAAAUUGAAGAGUGGAACAUAAAAAUUUGGUGUUUCGGUUUUCUCUUUAGAAUGAUUUGCUCGAAAAGAUAGUUUCAUACGAAGUUUGCGUUCUGUAAACUGAACCCAACAGUUGCUUCGCUUAACAUGUCUGCGCAUAUUGGAUCUGAAUGGUUUAGUAAGGGUCUCAUUAGAAGUUCCUGAUGAAAAAUGGAAAAAUGAGAGUAAGUUUGUAUAAAUGUGUAGAUUAAAAAAGUACAUUAAUUACUCAUGUCUUCUUUGUGUGAUGAAAGACCAAGAUAGGAUAGAAGAAGAAAAAUUACCAUGUCUUCUGUGCCGACGAUAUGGACAAUAGGUUCAUUGCUUGGUAUUAGACCCUGCCUUCCCCGAUUGAGUAGAUCUGUGUUGAGCAUUUUAGAAUAGCAAUCCAAAGUGUGUGGGUUCAUCCAGCCGCCUGGCCUCAUUGAAACAGUCAAAGUUUUUUGAUCGACCCACACGUUAUCUAUUUGGAAUAUCCUUUGGCUGUAUAGAAUAGAGUAAGUAAUUUCAGGAUUGGUAGUAAUGAAGCAUGGUGGUGAAAAUUAGUGAACAGAAAAAGAAUACAGAACCAUGUACAUAACAUUUUCACCUGAUGUCUAUAUGAGGUAGAAGUGACGACAUCAUUUUGAAGAAAUCUGCUUGAGCUGCUGUUGAGAAAAUAACUUGUUCCGAAUUGAGCUGAGUUGUUAUGUGCAAUUUUGAUGCUGAAGAGAAGUUCUGCAGUGGUGGCUGCUCUGCUGCUGCUUUAUCUCUGAGCAAACAUUCAGCUUCAUAAUCUUCCAGGACUUGGUACAUGAUAGGGUCUGGUAUAGGUGUACCGAAUCUGUUGGCUGCUUUUUCUGAAGAAUUGUGAUAGCACCUAAGCGGGCUGUUGCUAUAGAGGAACUGAUUGUUGCUACCUGAAUUCCUUACAAGAGAUUCAUAGUUGGUUUUGGGAAGGAUUGAUGAACAACUAGGAGGUGAAUAAUUUGCUUGGUAAUUGUUUGGGACUUCUUGCAUAGGGACUAAAUUUCAGGCUGUCUGUUAUAGCGGUAAAAGAAGGGAUGUCAAUAUCUGAAUUUUGUGGUUCACACGCAUUGGAUGUACUACCCAGGUUGUAGUUUUGAGUGGUUGGAAAACUUCUGGUAGGAGGUGCUGAUUGCGAGCAUUUCAUAUUCCUGGAAACAUCUAGGGCAACCGUAGUUGUUGAAUCCGUACCUUGUUGCAAACAGUACAGUUUGCUAUCUGAUUGCAUGAUAGAAAAAGUCAUUAGAAAAAGAAAAGGAACACUGUAUUAAGGAUAAAAAUGGUGCAAACAAAAAAAAACUAAAAAUGCAGAAAUUCUAAGGAAAAAAGGGGGUAGUGAAGAAAUAAACCUCUGCAGUUAUGAUUAGGUCUAACGAAUUUCAUUUGGGUCAAACAGAAUUUCUCUUUUGUGCAAUCAAUUUUGUCUGUUUCUUGCAUCCCAUUCGCUUCUGUGUGUGUAUAGAUGUAAUCUUUGAGUACUGCAUAUAGAUUUAGAAAAAAACGAAGAGAAAAUGUGUUAGAUCUUGUUUCAACCUAUGUAGAAAAAAAGGAGAAACAUGCUGGAAAAGGAAAGAUUUUAAUUGAAAAAAUUGGAAUUACCUUGGAGGAAAUCAAUAUCUGGGUAGUCAUAUUGUUUAUUUAUUUUAUCGAUGACGAACAAAUCUUCAAAGGUUGGUGACCUUUUCUGAAACAGGUCAUCAAUGCCUGAUGAGUUUUCUAAAAGGAGGCACUGUGAGAAUUUCUUGUCCAACCAUUGAAUAGAUGAAUCUCCAUCUUCCUUUUCCCAGUUUGGAGGAUUACUGUAAGGCAUUGCGAAAUCCAGGAAAUCAUGUGACGAUAAAAAAGUUGUUGGAUCCUUGAAGUAUUUGUUUGAGUAGAUUUGUUCAGCUUGCUGGUGUAAUGAAAUGUGGUUGUUCGGGGAUGUAAUUUGUUCAUUUGCAGACUCUGUCAUUUCAUUGUUGAUGUGGGUGAAACUCUUGGAGAUUGUCGAAUGGAGAUCAUCAAUGUAUCUUUCCGUUGUUGGAAUGGAGUUUGAUAUUAUCGUUUGCCAAAAUUUCUUGGUCAUAUCUUCAAGCAGUGCCUUCUCCUGAAAGGUAUUCACAUUAAUAAAAAUUACUUUGUAUAUAUAUGUGCGUGACAUGUCAAUAGAUCAGCAAAAAAUAUAAAACCGUAUUGAAAAUGAUGAAUGUCUCAUACAUGAUAAGAAGAAAAAUGGAAGAAUGAAAGAAUGAAAAGUUUCCAACCUGUAAGUUGUAGAUUGACGGAAAUUUGGAACUGAUGUACUGUAGAAUACAUGUAGGGAGUUUGUUUAUUCCUUCAUUUGAUAUAUUGUUGAAUGGAGUUGAUGAAAUAUGUUUCAACUGUUUUGCAUCAUAAAUGAACCGAAAAAAAAUGUUAGAGAACAGACCUACGCAGAAUACAUAUAUGUGGUGGACAAAAAAAUGUAAAAGAAAGGAAAGUCUGAUUGUAAAAUUAUUAGAGAAGGUAAAGAGUUUUUGUUGUAAAAACACUUACCGGAAGUCUUCCGAACUGAAGGUGUACACCGUGCAUUGUGUCUAGGGCUGUGAAAGUUUUUAGCAAGCUAGAUGACCACAAUGGGAGUCUUGGCAGUAUGUCGAUAGGGAACUUGAAUUCAGAAGUAAUUAAGAAUUCGAAGUGCGCAACCUGAUAUUAGGAACAAUAUUUGUAAGUUAAAAUUGUUUAAAAGAAAGAGUUGGAUGCAGUAAAAAAUUAAAGGAAGAAAAAGUGAUCUUAGGCUCAUAAUUUUAAUAUAAACUUACCACCAAGAUUAGUUUGCAUCCUCCAGGAUAAAAUGCCUUCUUCUGGUGAUGACCUGACUUAAUUUUUUUUAUUUGAUGUACUAGGUAGGAUAGAGUUGAAAGGCACCAGUUGUAUUUGCCAGCAUAACUAAUGUUUUGCAGAGCACUGUAGAAUUUCUUUGAUGGGGAACCUUUCGCAUUAGGAGCAAUCAAGCUUGAGAUAGCGAGGAGCAAGAAUAUAGUAGAGAAAUUUUCUUCGGAAAUGUUGUCCGUAAUCAUCGCAAUAAGAUGCUCUAUAGUAGGUGCUGAUGAUUGUACAAAGUUAUUGAUAAUAUCUACACAUUCUUUGGUUGGUGUAGAAUUUAUUGGUAAGCCACCAGCAGGAAUUCCAAGGAUUUUAUGAACAAUAGAUGUGUUGAAUUCAAAAUUGAAUCCAUUCCUCAGCUCCAGAGUGCAUGUUGCAGUAUUGAAUUGUAAUGCAAGCCACAUGAAAAUAUCAUCAAUGUUGCAGGCACAGCUGAUUCGUAGCAGUGAAGCGAAGCCAAGUUUUCGAACUAUGUUCUUCUGAGUAUCAUUAAGUUCAGACAGAAAUUUAACAAACAACUGGAGGUUGUCUUCAUUGCUGACAUCCUACAUAGGGAAUAGAUAGGUUGUGUGUUAGUUUUUUGUUUUUUUAUGUGUAUGUACUGAAUAAUAAAUUGUAAAAAUUAUGUACGGUUACUAUUUAUUAAAAAAUUGAAACGGGUGUCAGUGAAAAAACUGAGUCAGUAGUAGCCCCCUGCUAGUUGUUUUUCUGGCCUACAUGUACCUUCUUUCUUUUGGGAGGAUUAUUCCCAUUCUCUUCAUUUGGAAGCAGAUGUUGGUUGUUCCUCUUCCUUGCUGACAUUUCUUCCAUUUAGUUGAAUUCCUAGAAAAUUGAAUAACUGAACAAAUUAGGAGUUGUGUUCUUCUAAAGAAAAAAGGACAACAUUACUAUAGUUGUAUUUAUAGUACUUGUUUGCAGGUAUGAAAAGUAACAAAAAAUGCGUUUCACUAAUUUUGUGCGGAUUGUCAAAAGAGGUUUUUCCUUUGUUCAUUUGUCCUGUUUUACAUAUAGAGAAGAACUUAAAACAAGAAGUAAUUCCGUUGGACUGCAGUACAUUCUCAAAAAUGGGAUUUAUGUUGUUCCCAACUCAUAUCUACAGAGGAAAAAACUUUUUAUAAAAAAGGUAAAAAUUAAGUGAUGUAUUCUGAAGUGAUAUCUCAUAGGUUUGUUCGUAAAUUCGUAAAUUCAGAAAGAAAUUAGGGUGUAUACUACAUUCAGAAAGAAAAAUGUUUGUGGCUCGUACUAUAAUGAACUAGACCUCAUAGUUGGUUCGUCUGUUUCGCAGUAAGGUUUAAAAACUCGGAUAAAAAUCAUAGUCGCAGUAGUAGAGCCACGACGCGAAUGCAACUCACAUGCCGUGGACCAGCUUCUCUGUCAUCACGAUGAGGAAACAGUCCAAACAUGAUUGGAUAGCGUGGAGGCCAACAGAGAAGAGGAGCCUGGCCUUGCAAAUCGAUCGGAUGGUUGAGGGGUCACAGUGGCCAUGGAUGGCCGGGGGAGACGAAUAAUCUAGCAUCUUGUAAAAGGAAUGAAAUACUUUGUUGGCCACGUUUAAAGUCAGAGACCUCUCUAAGAUGAUGUGAAAAUAGGAAACAUCAAAAUAGCUACUUAAUGUUUUAGCUCAGAGACCUAAAUGAAGCUAGCUGCCAUGGCAAUCCCCAUAGAUACACGCAGGGGAAGAAACAGAGCUUCCACGCACACGGUCGACGGAUCAACGGACUACCGCUCGACAGCGGAGCUGCCGGAUAGCAGUGACGGCACACAUCGGGCGCGCACGGUGUGCACAAAUCCAACGCCCCGCAUGAACGUGAAUCAAAAGCUAUAGAAAAUCAAAAUGCAAAAAAGGGAGCGGAAUCAUGACCGUAGUGGUAAGAAAAGGGAUUGGGUGAAUUACCUUUUGGAUCCGAUAUUGGGAACUUAGUUGAAGCCGAGGAUCUAGUUCAUGAUGCAGAACCUGGGAAAAAAAUCGCCAGAGAGUGGAGUUUUGGAUGAAGAAAGGGGAAAGUGGAUUCUAGUUUGCAAUUAGACCCCUUUGAUAGUCGGCCACAGGUUGGUCCCACCUGUAAGACUUCCUUCCGAGGCGGUUUAGUCGCUGAAACAGUGACCCCACAUUACUUUAAAAAUUUUACAGAAAGAACGGGGAGGAAAAUAGAAAGAGUCUUAUAUAUGUUUCUUUACUGGUAGAAAUAGGAAGAUACGCGGAGGACUCAGGGGAGGCGGCGGCGGCUGCUUCUAGGUCGCUCGCCAGAUUUGCCACCCCGUAGAAAUCAACCAGUGGAUUAUAUCUUCUUUGUUGACGGGAUGACAGAAUCAGGUGGGGCGCUGCCGGCGAGUCUUAAUCGAUCUACCACAUGCGAUGAUGGGGGAGUAGCUAGCCAGAAGGCAGAUCCAGCCGGCCGUGGAGCUACUCUGGUGAUUCUUCUAACUAGAUUAUUUCUUCUAUACUCGAUUGUGUAGUUUAUUUUCUUUUUUGAGUACCCAAAAAUUGCUGCAAUGCUUUAUUAGAAAGCAAUCAUCCCGUUUGCUAGACAGGAACAAAAAAAUGAGAAAUAAUUAAAAAUAAAAAACAUUAUAGUCGAUAGGUUAUAUAAUUGCUCUAAUUUUGGUAUAUAGUGACUGGUCAAUGGAAAUUAAUUCAGGUUCAGAACUAGAAAAACAUGUCUAUUGAAAUCUAGAAGUAAAGUUUGUCUUGGGUAUUUGGAUAUAUUUUAUGUAUAUGUUUGAAGAUUUUUGGAAAAAACAAAUUAGUAUUGUUUAUGAAAAUAAACUAGCAGGUUCUCAUAUUUUCUUUUGAACAAAAUUCUCUGGUUUACUUGUGUUGUUCUCACAUUUAGUUGUGAUAAAAAGAACAUUUAUAUGGCACCUGGUGCCUUUUACUGCAAUGGUUCAAAGUAGUCUGAAAUCUUCCCCCAUGCCUUGUACAGAAGUUUACCUCAUGAAAUUCAUUUAUGUUUCCUGGAGACCGUUUGACGCUACAGAUCUUGUUUCCCCCUAUAGGAAAUCAGACAAGAAUUUCGUCCGACUCAGACACGCUUUCACCGGUGGUUGUCUUGGUGUUGUUGUAUUAUUGAAAGAGAUGAAUGCAGUACAAUAUAUCAAACCGAGCAUCAUAAUGAAUGUGUUUUUUUCCAGAACACUGAUAAAAACACACACCCUAACAACAAAACUGUAUGGUUAAAAACACUUAUAUAUAGGCAAACCGAAUUGUUCUUAGUAGGUUCUUUUUUGUCCAGUUAAUUUCAAAGUGUGUGAGCAUUCUUACUUUGGGAGUCUGAAUAUUUUCAUCUGUUUUACUUGUGUGGUUCUUGCCUUUUUGCUAUGGUAGUCUGAUUAUUUUUAACUUGUUUCUUUGCAGGUUCUUUCCAAAAGGAAAUUACCAGCAGUUCGAAAACGGAAAGGGAUGAACCAAAAAGAAACACCACAGAGUUUACGUGAGCCUGGGAAAGAAAGUAUUGAACUGAAGGAAUCAUCUGGGGUGAGUAUGAAAAAAACAUGUCUCUGAAAAAUCCUGUUAGAAGGUGACCUAAACUGAAUUUUUUUGUGCACUAUAUAUCAGGAAUGAAGUGGUACUUUAUAUUAGAAAAUGUUCUUUAUGUUUACUAAAAAGUAUGUCGCUUGUUUUUUCAUGACCAGGUUUGCGAUGUGAUGCUUGAAUUUGACCAAUUUGUGCAGUACCAUGAGAUGAAGAAGAAAACAGAGGUUUGUACCGUGAGAAAUUAGUUGAAAAGCACACCAAAAAAAUUUGUUGAACUGUUUUUCUUUCUUUUUGGUUUGCUAAUUCUCAUAAAUAUUAUAUUGCACAGGAAUUUGUUAGUAGUCAAGACAAAAUUGUGAGCCAAGGAACACUCAGUAGCAGCCAGGAAGAAGACCAGCGAACUCAGAUCGAAAAAAAAUGAUGAGGUUCAGAUGCAUAAAGUGAUACAAUGUGAGAAGUAUGAUGAUGUUAUUCUGAUAGCAAAUGAUACUGGCAGUGAAGAUGUGAGAAUAGUUUCUUCAAAAACUUUGCUUGGUUUUCUUUUCUACUAAUAUUGAUAUUGGCAGUUUAUGAAUUGAAUAUUGAUGAAUGAAUGUUUUUGAAUAGGUCCGAAACAGUUAUAUUGACGAAUCAGGUUCUACACCGGCUGUCAUAAUUGUGAACACAGAGACUUUGAAUGGGAAAAAUCUUUGUUCUACAAGCACAGAAAGGGGGAAAGAUGAUGUGGGACAUCCUAGUGAACAGGUAAAUAGCCUUAUUUAAUUCAAAAAAAGAAUGCCAGCACUUGUGGGUUUAAAAAAUCUUGCUGUUACAUGAAUAAAAAAUUAUUUGUGUUAAGAAUGAUAGAAAAAAAAGUUGAGCAUUAAUUUAGAUUAGAUAAUUGUUGCUUGCGCGUGUAAAAUAAAUUAGUGCUAUAAAAAUUUAAAAGAUUUUUUCCUAAACAGUAUUUAUAUCUUAGUCUAUGGUGUGAUAUGGAUUGGUUGUAUUUACUGUUUGUAAUGUUCUUCCAGGAACAGCAUUAUAGUGAGGACGCUUGUGUCCCUUCGGAUGAUUGCAUGAGCAAAAAAGAUUCUGAUGAUGAGUUAACUGAAAAUGAAUCAAAACCAGAAGAGUACUUGUUCCCUACGCCAGAUGAGAUGGAGAAUACAAGUACACCUGAAGUAGGGAAAGUAUUCUCUAGUCUAGAAGAGGCUGUCAGAUUUGUCAACAUUUAUGCUCAUAUCAGUGGGUUUGGUAUCAAAAAAGGGAGGAAUUACCGAAACAGGAAGAUUACCAUUUGCUGCUGCAAAAGUAGAAAAACAGAGCCCAAUGCAGCAGGUGUGAGGAAGCGCAGGAGGAAUAUGGUCGUUAGGACAAAUUGUCAGAUGCAUGUUACAGUAAGCUUACAAGAUGGCAGAUGGAUUAUUACUUCCCAAGAUCUUGCACAUAAUCAUGAUUUGGUAUGUUCGCCUACAUUGACCAAAUUCUUCCUAAGUCAUAGGAGCAUGAAUGAAGCUGAAAAACUUCUCUCGAGGCUGUUACAAGAACAUAGAAUUAAGCCAAGGAAGAUAAUGAGUAUUUUUAGGAAGCUGUCUGGUGGAAAAUUGGGUAACAUUACAUUCGAUGUCAAGAAGCUUGACAACCUGAAACAGGAAGAUCGUGAAAAGAGAAGGAACACGGACAUUGAACACACUCUGGAGUAUAUUGAAAAACUGCAGAUUGACAAACCUGGUUUUGUAUACAAGGCUCAAAGAAACGCAUCCAACUCAAUGCUUAGCUUGUUCUGGACAGACUCAAGAUCAAGGCUGGACUAUUUGCUGUUUGGAGAUAUAAUAUCAUUUGAUACAACGUUCAGCACUAAUAAGUACAAUAUGCCCUUUGCACGAUUAUUGGAGUUAAUGGCCACUCGAGAACAAUUGUUUUUGGUUGGGCCCUUUUGCAGAAUGAGCAGGCAGACACAUUUAAAUGGUUGUUUGAAACUUUUGUUGAAGUGAUGGGUGGAAAAAAACCGAGAGUAGUACUUACUGAUCAAGAUGCUGCAAUGAAGAAAGCUGUUCCAAAAGUGUUCCCAGAUGCAUUCCAUAGGUUCUGUAUUUGGCAUGUUAGAAGGAAAGCAAGAGAAAAUUUGGGUGCAUACAUGUCAAUUAAGAAAGGAAUGGAACAAGACCUUGACUAUUGUAUCAUGCAGUCCAUGACUGUUGAAGAGUUUGAAAUGAAUUGGAAAGAAAUGGAGCUGAAGCAUAGUUGUGGAAAACAUGCUCACAUUAAGCGCAUGUGGGAGAAUAGAGAGUACUUUGUUCCUGCUUAUUUCCAAGAAGUGUUCUGCCCGUUCAUUAGGUCUACCAGCAGAAGUGAGAGCUUCAAUUCAAAUUUCAAGGACUAUGUUUUGCGAAAGGAUACAAUAGAAACUUUCCUUCGUCAGUAUGAAUUAUUCCAGGAAAAUGUGAUGCACAUAGAGGAUCAAGAUAGGUUCUUGUCUAAUGAAAAAGUACCUAUCAUGUGGGGAUAUCAGCGGGUUGAGCGUCAUGCAGCUGAAAUUUACACCAGAGCUAUAUAUACCAAGUUCUUGACUGAAAUGUUAAAUUCAACUGCUUUCGGGGUUAAUGAGAUUGUGAAGAAUGAAUCAUAUGAAUUAAAGAGGAACUUUCCAUACGAAAAUCCAGAGUUUGACAGGGAAAUCUUUGCUGUGCAAGUAAAUCGAGAAAAGGAAGAAUUUGUGUGCAAUUGUGGGAAGUUUCAGAGGGAUGGUAUUCUUUGUUGCCACAUCCUUAGAUUGUUUACGCAGUUUGACAUGCUCAAGAUACCUGACCAGUAUAUUAUUCCUAGAUGGACUAGAGAAUUUAGGGAGAAGGAAUUGCAGAAACACAAGUCUAGUGCCCUUGGUAUUAAUGGAGAAGACCAGUCACACAAUGCUGUCAGAUAUGCCAUCAUGAUGAAUACAGUGGGGGAGGUAUGCUCUGACAUAAGUCAUGAUUCACGUUUUUGUCAAGAGCUGAUGGAUGCAGUUAAUGCUGUUCAUAGUAAGUAUCUUCUAGGCAAGCAACAAACUGCAGAAGGGGAUAAAACUUAUGAACAAACAGUGAACGAAGCAUGUGUGAGUGAGCCUUUGAACGAUCCUGCUGUAAUAAACAACAAGUCAGUGAGGAAAGGGAACAGAUUGAAGAGCCGAUCCGAGAGAGAAGGGUGGAAAAAGGCUGCUGAUAAACGGAAGAAAUGUAUUUGAAGAUAAUUAUUGAAUAGAAUUAAGAAAGUGAAUUAGAACUUGUUUACAAUGGUUCAUUUGAAAAUGUGUUUCCAUUUUUGAGGAUUUUUAUUUUUACCUAGAAUUUUCUCUGUUUACAGUAGCAGUUUUGGUUUGAUGGUUCACAUAGUAGUAUAAUUAAUGAGAAUGGACAAAAUACAUUGAAAGGUUUUUGCCUGGUGUUAUCACGUUUGAAAUUUUUUUAGGUGUACAUAGUUUAUUUUUGGUUUUUGCCUGAUGUUAUUACGUUGGAACUGUUGUGUUAUGAAAUAGAUUUCUACAAUCCAGUUUAAUCGUAAUGUUUUUGUCUAAAAAAAUGUAGUCUGCUGCUGUUCAAGUUUGAAAUUAUUAGUGCGACGUGUCAUCAAAUGUACUUUAAAAAAAUUGUAGAAUUUAUAUAGGAAGAAGUUUUCCUUUUGUCUUGACUAGUGAAGGAGACCUUCAUGUAUAGAUUCUUUUCUGUUUAUACUGUAUAAGUGAAGGAAACCUGUCGUGAUUAGUACCAUUACAUGCGCUCUGCCUCGGUGUUAUUUCGUCCUUAGCUUAUCUUAUCCUUUGUGUGGUUAUGAUCCCAGUGAAAAGCGAAGCUAUAUUUCGGUUCGUGAACUGGGAAAAAACCUAGGAACUAUUAGCAUUGUCAUGUGCUAGACAUUUCAGUGUGUAUUGCACUGUUUUAGUUUGCCAAAGUGUUGUGCAAAAUCUGGGAUUAAUUCUUCUUUGCCAGUGCAUGUACAAAGAGCUAUGUUUUGAUGAAAACUAGGGAAACUAGCUUGUCAUGCAGCAUUGUUUUGGUUUUCCUUUUGUGUUAGGGAUUAUUUGGCUCAAAGAAAGCACUGGGUUACAAAAAGAUUUUAACAAACUUUGUAAACCUGUUGAUAUGCCAGGUUGUUCAUAACAAUCUUUGUAUGUGCAAGUGUUGUGCUUCUGGAAAGAUGUAUGUGCAUAGUAUUUCAUUCUGCUUUCUCUGCACAUUAUGCUCGUGCAAAAUAUCAACGAGUAUUACUCCUUUCUUUGACCUGAAAAUUUCCGUCAUAGUAAACCCCUCAAGUUUGGGAUGGUAGGAACUUUGGCCAAGUUAGUGAACAUUACUUCCUUGAACUAUUGAACUAAAAUAAAAUCCAAGUGAACUAAAAUAAUUCGGAUUGUAGUAAACUAAAAAAAUAGUGAACUAAAAUAAUUCGGAUUGUAGUGAACUAAAAAAAAA